CACUUUCUUCCCUCUCUUCUCUAAAUAGCCACCACCGCCACCACCAUCACUAGAAGAAAUCUCUUGUAUCCAACCCAUACCCAAUCGUCGUAUAACCCACCACUGUCGUCCCUCGUGUCUAGCCCGUACCUUGUCGUCGUCGAACAGUCCGUCGACCUCCGUUGUGCUCGCCACCACCGUCGAACAUAAAUGUUCUUCAACAGAUUCACGUAAGGACCCAUUUUUAUUUUUGGGUGUUUUCCAACAGAUUUUGAUCUGGAUUUCAAUUUCAGGAAGGAAGUUGCAUUACAUUAGAGAGAGGUAUUUACAACAUCAAAUAUGUAACAUUUAUGAUCGUGAACAUAAGGAAGGUUACCUCUCACCAUUGAAAUAAUUAGUGCAUUGAAGUUGCUAAGAUGCCAUAUUUUUUUGCAACUUUUAUCAAUGGAUGGAACUAUAAAGAUCCUGAAAACUCCUUAGUAAGUAACAUCAUCUCUCAACACUCCUUGUAAAAUCGGUGUAUGCAUUCUUCAAAUGAUUUAGAUUGUGUUGAGAAAUGAUGGAUGAUUAAUAAUGUAAACAAGUUCUUUGGAUUCAAAAGCAUGUAUUCAUCAAUGUUUGACAUUCAAGAAAAUUGCGGACUCUGCUAUAUGUGAUAUUUGCUGAAAUAGCAUUCUUCAAGUAGGCAACCUGAUGCUAAAGCUUAAGCUCAUAACGACUUAGUUUAAGGUAAAAGGAUUGGACAUGACACAUAACAUAGCUGAGACUUGAGAUUGUUCAUAUUAUCUUUGCGUUUAAUUUUAACUUUUUAGAAUAUUUUCUUUUGGGAGAGUAUGUCUUCUCUUUCCGUCUAGUUUUAGAAAUGUUGCAUUUCUUUCACAGCAAUGAGUAGUGGUUUAUUAAUUGAUGAUGAUGUUGGAUAUUGAUUCUGCCCGUUUUUCCUCCCUUAAUUAUUGCAGUUUUUCUUCCCAUAUUUUCUUGUCCAAAGAUCACCAUUUGUGCAUCCAAUUGCAGUUCUUCAGCUCAUUUGGUUUGUGUAGAUUUUGGUUUCCAUUAAUAUUUUAAUUCUGCAUUGCUAAAUGCAAUAAUCACUCUAUUCAUAAAAAUAUUUGAAGAACUUAUCAAGAAAGCUAUGUUUUCCUCUCCCUUUCUCAUGUCCAAUUGUUGAUAACCUUGACUUUUUCCUUUUCAUUUUCAUGUUUUGUAGCUAUUUACCCAAGGCAUACUGGAAAUGUUUUUCAUGUAAUAGCUAAUAGGAUGCCAUAUUUAUUAUUUAUUUACAAAGUUCAUUUGUUGUUUGCAAUCUGUUGCCACAUUUUUCAGUCAGGUUAUGGUAGCAAUAGGAGAAAAUACCGCGGACCCUGGUGUGGUGUUUUUUUUAAUAUUUAAAAAAAAAUCUUUGUGAUAAUGUGGUUUGUUUUGAACUUUUUUUUCAAAUUGCUGGAUUCUGUUUUUUACAUUUUUGUUUUGUUUGUGAUAUGUGUACUGAAUUAUGUAGGUUUUGGUUGUGAGGACUUGCAAUGGUAUAUUUGUAUAUAUUUUUUAGUUUAGUAGAGGUAGCUUGACAUUGAGUUUAGGGAAUCUGCUAAUGAACAGAGACGGAGAAUGAUUGAAGUCAUAUCGGGUUGAAAGCUAAGCAACUGUGUAGAUAGCCAGACGAUCGUUGAAAGUUGAAGACUGAGAAGGCAUUUAGGAUUUCUUAUUUAAAUCUUGUAUUAGGAUCUUUUUUCAUGUACUGUUGUAGAAUGUAUAUAUAAAUACAAUAUUAAGAUUUCAUUUUGUGUAUGCAAAUGUAAAAGACAAAUUAAAGUUUCUAAAAUAAUAUUAAUUUUAUU
Molecule: long non-coding RNA, 1814 nt
Organism: Cucumis melo (muskmelon)
Lineage: Eukaryota; Viridiplantae; Streptophyta; Magnoliopsida; Cucurbitales; Cucurbitaceae
Exons: 4
Source: RefSeq, a predicted model, not a curated record